GGCACUUUGGCGGAGUGGUUAUGUGAGUACCAUCACUGCUAAGCCAGUUCCUUCGGGAGCGUGAGUUCGAAUCUCACAGGUGUCG
This 85-nucleotide transfer RNA is filed under the name Clonostachys rosea. It matches the Rfam family "tRNA". From Rfam's summary of the family: Transfer RNA (tRNA) molecules are approximately 80 nucleotides in length. Their secondary structure includes four short double-helical elements and three loops (D, anti-codon, and T loops). Lineage: Eukaryota; Fungi; Ascomycota; Sordariomycetes; Hypocreales; Bionectriaceae. The record is from RNAcentral.